Molecule: ribosomal RNA, 253 nt
Filed under: uncultured bacterium
Lineage: Bacteria
Description: partial 16S ribosomal RNA
Rfam family: Bacterial small subunit ribosomal RNA
Source: RNAcentral
GACGGGGGAUGUAAGCGUUAUCCGGAAUCACUGGGCGUAAAGCGUCUGUAGGUGGUGAUGCAAGUCACUGGUGCAAAACUCUGGCUCAACCGGAGGAAAGCCAGUGAAACUGCAUGACUAGAGUGUGGGAGAGGUAGAAGGAAUUCCAUGAGUAGCGGUGAAAUGCGUAGAUACAGGGAAGAACACCGGAGGCGAAAGCGUUCUACUGGAACACAACUGACACUGAGAGACGAAGGCUAGGGGAGCGAAUGGG